AUCAUAUCUCUCGUACUUCAGAGAGUGAUUCAGGGUCCCAAGUGCCAGAUAUCAAUGAAGAAAUUUUUGGUAACAGUGGAGUUUAAAUCUCUCUCCCCAAGAAAUGCAAAUCUCCUCAAAAUCUAAAACGUAUCUUUGUUGCAACCCUGUCAGAUACGGUUACAUUGUUAUGAAUAUUUUCCACUAUCUCUUGUCGCAAUACCCGAUAAAAAUUCAAAACAUCAAAUAAGUGAUAUCUCCUGUAGCCAUGAGACCAAGUUCCACUUCCAGCAGACAUCAAACAAUUAUGAAGCUUAAUGGAGCAAGCUUUUGCUAGUGGAAUUAUGCAUACAUGCCACUUUUAUUUUGAUUUUGAUUUUGAUUUUUAUUUGAUGCAUAAUUUCACCCGUGUAAACUCCUAUAUAAAGGAAUCUUUGCUUCAGUUGUAAACCAAGUUUUCAUUCUCUCAUUCUCCUACUCUUUCAUUCAUAUCCUCUGUUUCAUUCUCUCAUGUCCUCCUAAUCGAGAACAUUGCUACAAUCUCUUUUUAAGUAAGUUCUUAAUAAAUAAAGUUUCAAUCAUAUUUUCUUGUUUCUUUUUCUCGUUUUAGUAUUAUGCUUUGUGUUUAAGUGGCUGGUCUAACCGCCCAUAUUUCUGUUUUAUUAUUUUAAGUUAUGUUUCAAUCUGUUUAAUAUAUGUCUUAAUUUACUUGUUAUUAUAUAUGUUUAAUUAUGCUUUCUCUUUUUCAGUUAUAUAUAUGUAUAUAUAUAUAUGCAUAAUUCUCACUUUGCGGUAAAAUAUAUUAUUAAAAUUUUAAAAAUAAUCUUGUAGACCACGUGAUUCGGCCAAAAAACAUUUGCAAAAAUAAUACGUUCAAUACAAACCAUAAUAAAAUUAGCUUAAAAACAAUACUAAUUUAGAAAAGUUAUAAGCAAAUACAAUAUAUAAAUUAUCCAAUAGAAAAAAUAAGUUAUCUAUAUUACUGAAUAAGAAAACAAAAAUCAAAAGGUCAAAAAUAAAUAAACAUAUAUAAACAUCUACUAACCGAACAUUUUUAUAAAUGUUAACAUUACAAAUUAAAAUAACACAUGCGCGGAUGCGCGGAUCAAAGUCUAGUCUAGUUUUAAAUAAUACUAGAUUUUGACCUGCGCAAUCGCGCAGAUGUUUGUUUUCACUUUUCUAUACAUAAAUUAUUGUUUUUAAACAUUAGUGGUAUAUAUUUUUAACGUUAAUCAUAUACUUAAAUUUUUAUAUAACUAUUUCAAAUUAAAUAAUUUUAUAAUUUACAUGUUAUAAUUAGUCAAUUUUUAAAACCGUAUGUAUUUUUACUUAUUAUUAUAUAUUUAUCUUAUUGUAUUUGUAUUUAGUUAUUAAGCAAAUUAAUAUAUUUAUGAGAAAACAUAUUUGAAAAUUAUUUUGUAUUUAAUUUAUGCUAAAUUCUGACCCGUGUUUCAAAGAUGUAUUUAUUUUUACUAAUAUUUUUAUGCUUAUUCAUUUUAGAUAAUAUAUUAUUGUAUUUACAAAAGUCUAAGAUAUGUUAAUUUUUAGACAUGUAUUAUAUAGUUUGCUAAAUUUAAGCCGUUCUAUCAUCAUAUUAUAUUUUUAAAAUAAAUAAUUUAUAUUUAUGAAUAUAAAAUUUAUAAAUUUAUCAAUUGAAUAUAAUUUUAUCAUAUUUAAGUAUAAUAAUUGUAUUUUAACAUGAUCAUGACUAUAAAGUAGAUAAAAUAGGAUAUAAUUUAUUUAUUUUUCAUUUUACAAACGAUAACUUAAAAUACAUUAAAUUAUUGUUAAAAUAUGUUUACACAGGAUUUAUUAGAAUUUUGAAAAUAUAAUAUAUAAAUAUAUAUUUCCAAAUUAAAAAAAAAAACCACACAUGAAAGAAGUCAUGACUUAUAUUUUAAUAUAUAAGAUGUAACUGCAACUUAUACAUCAAAAAUAUUAAUAAAUAAUAAUUUUGAAAAAUAUAGUAACUCGGUUUUUUACAUCAAGCUCACUCCUAACAUAAAUCUACCGUUUCUAUCAAAUAAUUUUAAUUCUGAAUUACAUUGAGUUAUGACUUUUAUUAUAAUUUAACUUUAAUUCAACAUAUAUGUAUUAAAAAAACACAUCCCUGUUCAGAGCCAUAAUCAUCUCUAGCUUUUGCUGUGCUCACAUAUUAUAUUAUGAAAACUUUCGAUAUUGGUCAACUAUUUAAUAAGAAAAUCAUUUUAUAACAUUGGAUUUAUAUUAUCGUAUAAUUUCUAACUUUAUUACAUAUGAUGAUAUUGAUGAACAGGUCCACGAAUAAUGAUUUAACAUGACGCUCUCCUCCGAAACACUUGGAUCGACGGACGGUUCUAUAUGUAUGACAUCUUCGAUGGACCAGCGCUCUCUACAGCAGAUGACCAUAACAAACGGCUCUACCUACCUGCAGUAUUCUCGAACCCCGACCACAACAUAGUAAAAUAUACAUUGUCAAUUAAUUUUUGGAACUGUUAUAAAAAAUAAUGUAAAAAUAAAUAUGGAAAAAUGAAAAAUAAUAAUCUAAAACAAAACAAUGGAU
Molecule: long non-coding RNA, 2521 nt
Filed under: Brassica napus (rape)
Lineage: Eukaryota; Viridiplantae; Streptophyta; Magnoliopsida; Brassicales; Brassicaceae
Description: long non-coding RNA (BNAP_LNC004215)
Source: RNAcentral